GACAAAGAAAACUCUUGGCCCUCCAACCUUAUUGUCUCCAUCUUUCGAAGAAGAAUAAUAUUUAAAAACUAACUUGUCUUAAUUAGGGCAUUUAGAAUGACAGGACUAGCACUGACUCACUUGGGAAUUCAUAACCCUACAUAUAAUCACUUUUGGAAUGGAGUGCAUUUAUGCCUUCAAAAAGUUGGCCUCAUUUUCUGAAGCUGAAAUCCUUUUGAUCAUAAUUACUUCUGACCUAAAAUUACCCACAGUCACCAUACAAUGCCACGCUGGGACAAAAAAGAAAUACAUAUUAUUGCAUUCUUACCCAAAUACUCUUCGUGAUUGCCUGCUUUGCGGCUUUGGGAUUCUUCAGGGAGUAGAGAACAUUCACACGGGUUGACAUCCCAGUUUUCUCAGCAUAGUUGGGUCUUGCUGUGUUGCCCAGGUUGAUCUCAAUCUCCUUGCCUCAAGCAGUCUCUCUGCCUCAGCCUCCCCAAGUGCUGGGAUUACAGUUUAUGUCCAUGCUGCAGGUAUAAAGGAUGAAGUUGUAGGGCAGGAAGUCUUAUGACACUUGGAGCAGCUACUCAAUGGAAAUCACGAACAGAAUGAGUUUCAUCGACAUGUCAAGACACUACUACCAACAGAGCUAUUGCAGGACACCUACCUAAAUAACUAGCUGUCUCUUCCACUUAAAGCAAGACAUGGGAUCUCACCAUUUUAUUGCCUAGGCUGGAGUGCAAUAUUGUGAUCCUAGCUCGCUGCAGCCUUGAACUCCUGGGCUCAAGUGAUCCUCUCUCCUCAGUCUCCUGAGUAGCUGGAUUACAGAUUUCAGCUAAACAAACUACAACCUAUUUUCCCAGUGUUUCCAAACCUGUCCCGAGGCAGAGAUGACUGUAAAGAGCCCCUCAGGAGCCCUUAUUUGUGGUUUCUAGGCUGAAGGCUGGCUGUGCAACUUUGGCAUUCUUGAUCUAUCACCUGUGACUGAAAGCUCCCAAACUGAUGCAAAACUUCGAACUACAUAGGAAAGAGAUGGAUUCAAUGGUGAUCACUUUCCUUUGGAUCUCUGCAAAACUACAUACCUAUGCAACAUAUUUUUGGAUAUAAUUUCAGUUGUCUCUGAAAAUGUCUCCUCAUCUGCCUUUGAGUGGUAUGGAAUCACUACUGAGCCUCCACUAUUGGUGCCAUCAAAGACCUCAGUGAUGCCAAGGUAAUGACACUGAUGCCCUCCAAGAGCAUCCUAUCUUUGCUGCUGCCUGUGAUACCAAUGUUGUGUGUGGUCCUCCCCAGUUUCUUGUUUCACUGAGCUGCAGAUUAGUCUGUUCACUGCUUGCGCCCUGGAAUUGAACACUUGAAUGUGCUUUAACCUUGUUGUAUCUUCUACCCCUCUUGUUACACUCUCUUACAUAAUUAUAUUUCCAUAGAUUUACCACAAAAAAGAGAUCCUUCUGACUUUAUUUUUGUUUUACUAUAAUUUACUGACAAGCCCUUCUUCCUAGAACUCAAGUUCAAGUCUAUGCAGGCUGGACUGGAGGCUAUCUUUUCUCUCCCAAGCCUGAUGCCAUUUGAUAGCUCAGCUGUGCUUUGGUGAUCUUUAUUCUUAUGAUGAAGUUUUUCCUAAGAGAUGGCUUCAUUCCUCAUGCAUAGACUCCUCUAAGUGCAUUUACAAGUCUUGCAAAUUUGCACACAAAAAUUUCCAUCUCCAAUAAAAAUACAUAAAGUCAAGAUAAGACCUCCCUUUGACAUGUGUAUUUUAAAUAAUUAUCUGGAUGUUUUUCUUUUAAAAAUUAAAUAUAUUAUCAGUAUUGAGUCAUCUGUAGGAUUUACUGAACUUCAUGAAAGACCUUGCACCCCAGAAUACCCUAGUCUUUUCUAUUAUUCAGUGUUAAGGGAUGGAAAGAAUACCUAUGUAGUAGCUUACACUUUCUUCAGCUUUAAGAUGCCUGUUUUGGGAUUUUUUGUUUUUGUUUUUACAUUUUAACAUUUAUAAAAUCAAGACAUUUCUUACAAACAAUGUGUACAUUUAAUGCUUGGGGUUUUAGUUUUUGUAUCCUUGAAAACAAUUGAAAGUAUGUCUUAGAAAUGAUAAUAUCAUUGAGUCAAGAAAAUAUAAUAAUCAGCUUUCUACUAUUUCUCAGUUCUUUUCACUUGGAAACUAUAUUUGGCCUGAGAUGUAUCCAAACACACAUGUAUUAACAAGCAACAAUACACUGAUUUAAUUGAAUAAUUAAGGAAGUGACCUCUUGAUACAAUGAUAGAGGCAGGGGGCAGAGAAAUUCUAGGCAGAAAAGGGUAGGUCCCCGACAAAACCCCACCUUCGAGCCAAAAACCCUAAAACUGUGGCCCAAAGUGAGAACUUCUAUCCCUGUUUUCCCACUUGAAUGUUGCCUUUUCCUAAACUACCCAUGGCCCACCCCAUCCCCCAUCCUGUGCCUGUAAAGACCUCAGACUCAGCCAGCAGAGAGAAGCAGCAGCUGGACAUCAGGACUAUGGCUGGAUGUCAGAGAGAAGUGGCUUGAUUUCCAAGGGAGAGCAUGAUGGCAUAACUUUGGAGAAAAAUCUGGUCAGAGACAGCCAGACUUCAGGGGAAGAUUACCUACCCACUCCAUUCCCUUUUCAGCUCCCCUUCCUGCUGAGAGCUACUUUCAUCAGCAAUAAAAUCCCCUGCAUUUACCAUUCUUCAAUUCGUUUGGUGCAACCUCCUAUUUCCUGGAUGCUGGACAAGAGCUUGGGAGCCAUGAGUGUGGAUAGAAAAGGCUGUCACACUGGCUUUUUGCUUUUGCUGGUGGAAGGCAGCCACCUCAUGUGAAAAGGCAGAGGGCCUACUGAACUGUUAACACUUAAGCUGUCCACAGACCAGACAGCAGAGCUAAAAGAGCACAGUAAUAUGCCCUCUGGAGCUUUGGGGGUUGCAGGCACCCCUCACCUAGAUGCUGCCACAGGGCCUGCAGAGACUUUGCUCCUGCCAGUGCCCAAAAGCACUCGUUCCAGCUCCUGCACCCACUCACCUGUGGGCUCCCUCCCACAAGGGGUGGAACGCAACAGAUACACGUGAGUGGAGUUUGAUCCUGCUGGCACCAAAGCAGCUAGCUGGUUCCAGUGCUCAUGCACUCCAGUUCCUGCCUCAUUCACUCACACACUCCCUCCUGCGAGGAGUUGAGAGUGGUGGGCUGAGUAAACAAGACACCUGUGUCAUGAGUCCCCCAAAAGGGUCAGGGAAAUAUCUUGCUUCACUUUGACCUAGAUACAAAUAACAUGACUGAGGAAACCUAAUUAAUUUAGUAUAAGAUGUUUAAACUGCUGAAGAUUGCCUGCCAGAGGAUUUGAGAUGUGUAAGUACAACAGAAUUGUUCAUAUUCUUGAUGUAUAUGAUGGGUAUUAUUUUCAUGUGAGUCUACAUAGAUAUACAUUAUCUUUAUAAUAAGUAAACAAGUAUUUUGCAUGGAUCAGUUUGACUGUCAUAUAGGAUGGUUUUUAGAGAGUGGUGCUAGGGUGUCAACAUCAUGUGUGUGAUUCUUACACAGACCAAUAAUCUUUGUCCUGCUACAUGGCUACGGACCGAACCUUGAUAUCAGUCUCCUGUCUUCAAAAUUUGCCCUAUUGUUUUUAAUGGGCUUCUAAUAAAAGAGUGUAAAUAAAUUAACAUAAGUCAGUUCACACUAUAGAGAAGUAAAAGAGUCUCCAAGAACAUUCCAUAAUCAGGCUCUUCUUGACUUGGCACUAAGGAUAAUAAGUUGGCUCUUCUGCUUCAAACUUGAGUUAUGUGGUCAGAACAUUCUCUCAAUUCUUCAUCAGGCUUGGAAUCUUUGCCAUCUACCCACUAAGUCAUAGAUCACCUCUGAUCAGCAUUAGUCCCCUCUCCUGACCCAGAGGCCAUGAUGAUAAAGUAUGUGGACUGAACUGUAUCGAUGGUGCUUCUGAUCUGUUGCCUAUUGAACACGUGUUCCAAAGGGUACAGAGGAUGCAAUGAGAAUGUAUAUCCUGAAGAUGUAUAAUGUGGUGCUGGGAUACUGAACUCAUACUGUUCCAGAUAUAUCAAAACUCUGCUAGUCUUACCACAUCUGAUUUAAACUCUUUCAUCUUUAUUUUUCCUAGCUUAACAAAAACCUCUGCAAAUUUCCAAGUCUCAUUCUAACUUGUAGUAAAGCUCCAAAGAGCAUCCAUUUUUCCUCUUUCAACUUUUAUUACAUUGGGUCACCUUGGCCUUUGAAGAGUCUGUGUGAUUAAGUGUACCCUGAAAUCACUGCCUCAAAACCACCUGAGAUCAAAAUACGGAUGCCUAUUCCCCACCACAAGCCCACUCAAUCAGAAUAUCCAGAGGCAAGAUGCAGCCCAAAAGCACCCCUUGUUUAGGAACUACUGAUUUGGUGAGACUACCAGCAGUACACCUUAUAGCAGUUGAGUAUCGUAGCAAUUUAAUCAUGCACCUAAUGGGAGUAGGAGGUGUGCAAACUGCCCUUCAUGAGUAACCUAGAGACACUCACAAGAACCAACUUCACCAUCACUAUCAUUCUCUAUCUCUGACUGAAAAUGACAUUUAUUUCUUCAUAGAGGCAAACAGGUAUUCUACCACUAACAGGUCCUCACAUUAAAAUUUUGCUUGAGGCUGCAGUGAACUAUGAUCAUGCCACUGCUCUUCAGCAAGGGCUUCAGAGUGAGACCCCAUCUCUAAAAAGAAAAAAAAGAAAAUUUUGCUAAAAACAAGUAGACACCAAAGACCCAUCAGUCAGAAGCCAGCCUAGUCUGAAAGAAACCGCUACAAAGACCAUCUGAUGUUUUAUUAGCAGCACUUUGCUCAGCCCCUGGUUAAAAAGCAGUUCUCUGCAGCAACCCAGUUUUAGUUGUCCCCAGGGAUCUGGCUUGAAAAGAAGUUUGACAUUAUAUUUUCUAAGCCAAAGGGGCACUUCUAGCUUAGAAGCAUCAGACCAGACACCUGGUCAGGAGCAUUGUAAGUCACUUAUUUCUCAAUGAACAAGUUAUUACCCUUUCCUUUUUGUCUGAAUUGCUGUCCCUAGAUGCCAUUCCCAUGGGUGAUCUCUACCUGCACAUUGCUCUACUCCUGGUAUUGAUAGGUCCAUGUGUCAUGCAGCCUGAGGAGAAACAUGGUUUGAUAUCCUAAGGGGGCAAUUUCUCUCCUUGGGGAAGAGCCGGCUUCCAUUGCUGUGCCUUGCCUCUCAUUAAUGUUCCAGCUAGGUCUCUUUACUGCUCUAUUUAACAGCAUCCACUCCAUUAUUGAUCAUAUUUUGUGUAAUUGUAGAUUUGCUGGUGAAAAUGAUGAUUAUGCUGUAAAGAGAGGGCAGUGUUUGGGAUCUCGCUUCUAUAAAAUUUAGCAGUGCUGUGGAGUCUGCCUCAAAUAAGUGAAUUGGAGAUGCAUUCUGGAUGAGUGGUAAUAGGGGUGAAACCAGUUCCUGAGAGUGAGAUGAUCUAAUGCUUCCCUCUACACUGUAAGCCAAGACCACUCCAAAGCUGAUGUUUCAUGUCUUAGCCCAAAGGAUUUAACACUACAGGCCUUUUGUAAUCUCUAAGUGGGUACUCUGUACAUUUUAACAUGGAACAAUGUGACCACAUUUUUAUAUUUUCUAUAUUUUCAGUCUAAUUUACUGCUUUAUUUGAUAUAUGGUAAAGUUAAGAGUUUUUGUUCAUUCUUUCAUUAUUCUUUACACUGAAAAUUGCGUAGGGUUGUAAUCUUUUAAUUCAUAUCUAUUUCUUCUGAAAGCUGACAAUUGCUUCAAUUAUAUUCUGUCACCUUUCUGCUAUUACCAAUACCUUCUUGCCUAGCCUUUUAUAUUUAACUCAAUCAGUCAUGAUAAUAAACAAAUUAAUUUACUUCUUUUUUAAGUCAUUGAAUUGAAGAUGGGAGGGUCACUGAAUCAGUCAGGUUCCAAUCAGGAGACAGAAGCCACAUAGCAAUGUGAACAAGGAAAGCUUAGUGAAAAAGGAUUAUUAACUACAAGAGUGGAUUGCCAUCUUAGGAGUAGGUAAUUCUUACCUAUUUGGGGUAAGAUUACAGAAAUAGCACAGAGAGGGAGCAGCCACUACCUCUAGGUUUGAGGCAGAGGACCCAGUGAAGCCCUGCCUCCUUCAAGGUCUCAGUGAGACCCAGUCUCCCUUGGAGAGGACUUGAUCAUUCAUGGCUCACUGAAUGGCAGGCCAGUUUCCCAUAAUAGUGGAACAUCUAAAAAGCUGCCCUCUGCGUUGCUGGGGAAAAGCUGCUAAGGGGGAGAUACUGAUGAAAUGUGCUGCCUCUGAACCCUGCUCGUGUCCUGUGAAUGCUGCCUACCUUAUACUACAGAAGUAACCAGAAAACACACAGAAACCAGAAAGAACAGCCCUUUCCUCCUCCAGUGUCCCUCCAGUGCCCUCUACUGCAAAAAGGGAACAUUGUGCAAGCUGGCAAGGGAGAAAUGUCCCACUAUCAAAAGCAGGGCAAUGAAGCGUAGAUUUGGAAGUGAGAGGCAAUAGCCUAAUAACUGACAUAGUCCACCCCUUUGGUCACUGAGCUUCUAUGUGCACCCAUCUGCACGCAAAUGAACUUCUUUACAACAACCAUGCAAGUCUGUUUCCACCUAACAAUGUAUAGCUAUCCUUCAUAUAAGGGAAGAUGUUCUUAUCCUUUCCCCAAAAUGAAGAGACAUAGAAUGCCAACAGUCAUUAUAACCAUCAUUAGCCAUAUUAAUUACUCCUCAAAUUCAAUCAUAGUCCCACUAAGUAUCCCAUUACCCAGAGACUAAGGUAUAUUGAGAACUGGCACAACCAUUAAGAAAAUGGAGCCCAAAGCUACCUCCUCUAACCUCUAUGGCAAACCUCCCCCUACAUGGUAUCUCCAUGACCACAAAUCUUCUUCCUCUCAAGCCUUUGUUCCCCUGCCUAGUCUGAAGUAACAUGAUCCAGUUGAUGCCCACCUACCUACUGCUGCUUCUGCCACUUCCCAUCUUCAUCAUUGCUGCAUUUUACUAGCUGACACCUCUUAGACAAGGCCUUGAUACAGUGCCCUAUGCAGUCGCUACCUGCAUGCUCAUGGUACGGAGUAUGAAUGACAGUAAAAAUUACACAAGUAACAGUUAAACUUAAUCAUUUCACUCUCCUUCCCCAAAUAGGGAAAUUGGACAAUUUAAGUUUAAUUCAUGUCUCUCCCACCUCAGCCAGUUAAUAAGAAUUGAGUAUCCCAAAGUCAAUGAGGAAAAAAAAAUAACUUAAAUUUUAAAAUAUAGUCAAUGAGAAGAGGACUAAAGAGAAGCAGACUAGAUCAUUCGCCCAUGGAAAGUGAAGACUUGCCAAUACAAUGUGCCUUUUUAGUGUUUUCCUUCAAUUGUUACAAAUCUGUGAUUUGUUAUAUUUGACCCAGUGGAAGUCCUGCAAGUCACACUGACCUAUUAAUAGAAACCCAGACUCCAAACAACCAAGAAACAGAGCUCAGGCCUGCUUCAUUUCUCUACUUGCACCUCAAGAGCAGCAGUGACCUUUGCCUAUCAUCCGACAACAAUGUGGAUGGCAUCAUAUUUCUACCGACAUCUCUGUUUGGUGUGUGAAGUUAUUUCCAAAAAGCUUCAUUCAUUUAAUCCUCCAGCUGUCUAAAAAUCUUUAUGGGUGACCAUUUUUAGCAUGCCCUUUACCCUUUGCUCUCUGAACCCAUCCAGGUCCUUGCUUAAGGCUCCCAAAGGUCUAAGAGCAGUAGGGGGAGAAAGUGAAAACUGGAUACCUAAUGAUAUAGAAGUCAGCUGGUAAAGUCCAUAAAAUUACUUUGGGGAUUAGCUGGUAGAAGAGGUGGUGCUGUGUUUGUGCUUCUACUUUCACAACACAAAAUAAUUAAUGAGUAAAAAAUACUUUUUGUUUAAUAAUUGCUGUUCUUCAUUAGUGUGAACCAAGGGCAUGGUCUAUCUAAGACAAUAACAUCUGCACCCCAUAUUUCAUUAUCACCAAACUUCACAUUUCACACAAAAGCAUUGCUAGCACAGCCUUACAGCUUUAAUUAGUUUCUGCCAUAGCUGUGAAGGUCAGCCAAUUAUUGUGUGUGAAAUUUCAAUAUGAAGUGGCUGAAUUGAAGACAGCAUUGCAACAGUGUGGGAUUCUGCAGUGCUGUAAAUCUAGUACUUUGGAACCAUUUUUUAAAACACAAGAUAACAUAAAAUAAUCAUCAGGUAUGCAUGGCUUCAAGGCUUACUGGUUAAUUUAACAUGUGCUUGGUGGGGGAAGAAAACCACAUCAUUUCUGAUUGUUGCUUAAAUUCCCUCAUUACAUCGUCAUUAUCUGUGACACAGUUGUUAAGGCUGAAUCCAUGUUUUUAUGAUCAACAUCUUUUAACUCACUUAGAAUUGCACUGGAACAUUUGAUUUAGAAAUAAAGCCUGGUUUUACUGGAUUUACAUGAUGCUUACACAUACACAUGCAUAUAGAUACAUAUAUACAUACACAUAUAUUUUAUAUAGGUACAUAAUGUUUAAUAUGUACGUAUUCAUAUGUAUACACACGUUUAAACACUGCAUGUUUGACCCAUCAAAAUAUAAAGAUAUUAAUUAAGUCAACUUAAGAAUAUCAUUUUACUGAAAAACUUGCCGAAUUAGAAAAAAAUUUACUAGGGAUUCAACUUUAUGAGUUUUCUAUUUAGGAUCAUAGAACUUUGAAAUUAGAAAUGAUCUUGAAGCUCAUCUGCUCUAGCCCCUCUGUUUUAUGCAUGAGGAAAUAUGCCCAAGAAUAAUACAGGUUUUCCCAAGUCCAAGAGUGUCAGCAACUCAACUCAAAUUCUGGACUCCUAUUUCUCCUGACUUUCCAUGGGCCUGUUUUACCAUGGCAUAACAAUGUAGAUAAGAUGUGCCACAUGAUAAAUAAAAGCUCCAAAUUUUGCUCUCGGAUUUUCAUGAGAUUGGAGGCCAGUUUGCUUUGUUUUGUUUUCUACAUAGAUAUAUGUAGUUUAAUCCUAAUUCAAGCAAACAAAUAUUUUUUGAGCUAUCCUUUGUGCAAGGAACCCUGAAAAGCAUCCCAUGUAUCUAGCAUGAUUAAAAUGUUUUCACCAAGUUUACAAACCGGCAGCAUAGAUAAAACAAAGAGGAGGAGGAAAAAGAGACCACAGAGUUAAUGGAAACACCUGUCAGAUUGGAGGAGCAUAAAGACAGGGUAGAGCUAAGGAGGCAUACCAAAAGAUAAGUCAGAAGAAAGAAAAUGGAAGAAUAUUGAGCAGCAUCCCUGGCUUCUACCCACUAGAUGCCAGUAGUGCCCCCUGCUCAAAUCAUGACAUUAAACAUUCUCUCUAUACAUUGACACAUGUUCCCAGACAGGGGUAGAGGGGGAGCAAAUUUAUUUAAGAACCACUGAUCUAGGGUCUAGAUUCCAGACUAUAAAGUAUUGUGGAUCUUGGAAGACUUCUCGUUUCCAAAAUAGACAAUUUACUUCAACUUCACUGGGAUGCAUGAACCUUUGAUCCUUCCAUGAUUUCCCAAGCUACAGGCUGGGAAGGUAAUAUCACAGACUGCAGAGAGGCUCAGAAGCUAAAGAUUGAACUGAGGUUGCUUGAUUUGAUGGUUUGGUGACCUAUGGAAGGAAGUUAGAUUGCAAUGGAUUAAAGAGUAAGUGAAUGUGAUUGAGCAGUGAGCAAGUACAGUUGCAGGUGUGCACAAUUCUUCCAAUGAGUUAAAAAGUAAAAGAGCAGAGGUGAUGUAGCAUCUCCAGGGAAUUAUAGGGUUGAGCACUCUCAACCUCAGGAACUGUUGAUAUCUGGAGCAGAUAAGUCUUUGUUGGGGUUGGGGGAAAAGAGGACCUGUAAUUUUAAAUGGGAUGUUUUGCAGCACCCCUGGUUUCUACUCUUAAGAUGCCAGUAACACUCCUACCCUCAGUUGUGAAAACCAAAAAUGCCUCCAGUUGAUGCCAAAUGUCCACUGGAAUGUAAAAUCUUUCCUAAUUGAGAACCACCGGGUUAGGGAAAAGGAUUUUUUAGUUUUUUAAUUUAAAGUAAAGAAAACUUAAGCAAGUUUUCAGAAACAGAAGAAAAGACAAGGAGAAUGAGAGAGAUUAAAGAUGCAAGGGGAAACAAGGACACACGGGGAGGGGACCAAAACAAGAAAAAGGUAAUAAUAGGGAAGACCAAGAGUGCUUUGAACAGGAGAAUGAACUUUCCUUCAGAGCAAAUAAAGAAAUAGAAGGUCUGUAAAUGGAAGACAGAUGUUAACAGCAGUCAAACCAGGAAGUCUUGAUCUUUGAAGCAAAGUUGUAGAUGAGCUUUGUUUGAUGGUAGGAUUUGAGAGUAGGAAUUCACUAUAAAGUUGAGAGGCAAACUUCUGGCCACUGCUUAGCUGGGACUUGAGAGAAUACCUUGGUAGCAGAACCAAGAAGUGUAUAAAAGAUGCCAAAGUUGUUUCUUACUCAAUUAACCUUUACCUGCCUGGCAGCAGGAGCAGAAAAAUGGACACUUCUGCUGAGGCAGAAACAGCAGAAGGACAAGUGGCAAAAGGGAAUGGGGGCAAAGUAGGAAAUCUGUGAGUGUACAUGAGGCACAGACUGAGUUAAGAGGGAGAAAAGGGAUGAAUCAAGGGAUCAUGCAUCCCAAUGAGAUUGAAGCAGAUUCUCUGUUUUGGAAUUAGAGGCCUCUCUAAGAUCCGUAAUACUCUGUGGUCUACAAACUAGAAUCUAGAUCAAAUGACUUUGUCACAUCCCUACUCCUGCCAGGGACAUUUGGCAAUGUCUGGAAACAAUUUUUAUUAUUAUGAUUGAGGCCAAGACAGGGUGGCAGUGGGAGUGGGACAGGGGUACUACAGGCAUCUAGUGGGCAGAAGCCAGGGAUGCUGCUGAACAUCCUAUAAUGAAUGGUGUAACCCUCACAAUAAAGAAUUAUCUGGUGCAUGGAGUCAACAGUGUCACUAUUGAGAAACCUUAAGAAACCUUUUAUUCUAGAUUAAAACUAGCUAUCUUGGAAGUUAGCUAAUGAAAACUCUUACGACUUUUUUUAAGAAAUUAAGCUGCUGAAAUUUCUUUUUUACAACCCUAUUAUACUUUAGCAUCAAUUUUUAUAGUCUUUUGGAAAGAAGGACCUCCAACUGCUUUUAUUUAUUAAUUAUUCCAUCCCAAAUAAGUUGAGUUUUAUAAUGGGGCCCAUGUUAAGCAUAGAAAAUAUAAAAAUAAGGUUGACAUAGACAAGCAUUAACUUAGAGAGAAGCAUAACUAUGGAAUGAAUUGUGUCCCUCCAAAAUCCAUAUGUUGAAGCCCUAAUCCCUAGUGUGACCGUAUUAGCAGAUAGUGCCCCUAAGAAGGUAAUUAAAGCUAAAUUAGGUCAUAAGGGUGGGGCCCUGAUGUGAUAGGAUUAGUAUCUUUAUAAGAAGAGACACCAGAGAUCUAGUGUCUGCAAGCCAGGAAGACAGGCCUCACCAGAAACCUGCCAUGCUAGCACCCUGAUCUCUGUCCUCUCUCCCCAAGAACUGUGAGAAAAUAAAUGUCUAUUGUUUAAACCACCCAAUGUCUAGUAUUUUAAUAUAGUAGCCUAAGGAGACCAAGACAGAAUAUUCUCCUGUUUUGUUGCUAUUGUUAAUUUGUUCAUUUAUUCUAACACUUGUCCUAAGCAAAUGCUAAGAAGCCAGUUUUGUCUUAGGAGUCUUCCCAUUCUAACCUAACUUCUUAUUCUCCACUCUUCUCCCCAUCUUUGGCAGUAAGGAAAAGAGAUUGUACUUCAAAAUUAGACAGACCUGUACAAAUUCUAGCACCUAACCUAAAAAGCACCAGGUUCGUUUUCCUCAUGUAUGGAAAGGGGCGAAAUCACAUUUACU
This is a long non-coding RNA of Pan troglodytes (chimpanzee), 11725 nucleotides long. RefSeq lists it as uncharacterized. The transcript is spliced from 9 exons. NCBI's taxonomy places the organism in Eukaryota, Metazoa, Chordata, Mammalia, Primates, Hominidae. The record is from RefSeq and is a predicted model, not a curated record.